This 424-nucleotide ribosomal RNA is filed under the name uncultured Clostridia bacterium. Its description in RNAcentral is "bacterial SSU rRNA". It matches the Rfam family "Bacterial small subunit ribosomal RNA", at positions 354 to 796 of the family's 1533-position model. Lineage: Bacteria; Bacillati; Bacillota; Clostridia. The record is from RNAcentral.
GUGGGGAAUAUUGCACAAUGGGCGAAAGCCUGAUGCAGCAACGCCGCGUGAGCGAUGAAGGCCUUCGGGUCGUAAAGCUCUGUCCCAAGGGAAGAUAAUGACGGUACCUUGGGAGGAAGCCCCGGCUAACUACGUGCCAGCAGCCGCGGUAAUACGUAGGGGGCAAGCGUUAUCCGGAAUCACUGGGCGUAAAGGGUGCGUAGGCGGUCUUGCAAGCCAGAGGUGAAAGGCUAUGGCUCAACCAUAGUGAGCCUUUGGAACUGCCGGACUUGAGUACAGGAGAGGAAAGUGGAAUUCCUAGUGUAGCGGUGAAAUGCGUAGAUAUUAGGAGGAACACCAGUGGCGAAGGCGACUUUCUGGACUGUUACUGACGCUGAGGCACGAAAGCGUGGGGAGCGAACAGGAUUAGAUACCCCUGUAGUCC